UAACACGUAAGCAACCUGCCUAUCAGAGGGGAACAACAGUUAGAAAUGACUGCUAAUACCGCAUAUGCCUUGAGUUAUGCAUGUAACAAAAGGGAAAGGAGCAAUCCGCUGAUAGAUGGGCUUGCGUCUGAUUAGAUAGUUGGUGGGGUAAUGGCCUACCAAGUCGACGAUCAGUAGCCGGACUGAGAGGUUGAACGGCCACAUUGGGACUGAGAUACGGCCCAGACUCCUACGGAAGGCAGCAG
This 245-nucleotide ribosomal RNA is filed under the name uncultured bacterium. RNAcentral's name for it is "partial 16S ribosomal RNA". It matches the Rfam family "Bacterial small subunit ribosomal RNA", at positions 111 to 354 of the family's 1533-position model. The record is from RNAcentral.